RNAcentral lists this ribosomal RNA (1034 nucleotides) under Erdelyia saucra. RNAcentral describes it as "partial large subunit ribosomal RNA". The record is from RNAcentral. Lineage: Eukaryota; Metazoa; Arthropoda; Diplopoda; Polydesmida; Xystodesmidae.
GGUUUUGUCGUGGUUAAAUAGAAAAUUUAUUUUUAGUAGUUUGAGCGAAUUUAGUUGGGAUCCUAGAGAGAACUGAGUACUGAGAAGGAAUGUUAUUUAUUUGUUUAAAAUAUUAGGUUGGUUAGUACCUUUUGUAUUAGGGUUAAUCUAUGUAGUUUUGCGUUUGUUAUUUCUCGAUGAAUAUCGGGCUAUUUUUCUUAUUGGUGCUCGUUGUAUAGAGUUAAAUAGGGGAUUAUAGUUAUGAAAUAUUAUUCAAGUUAUUUUUUAUCUGGUUCUUUAAGAAAUUUAAUAGUCGGUAUUUUUAUUAUGACGAUAAAUAGGGAUUAGCUUAUUUAUUUUUUAUAUUGUUUUAUUUGGGGGAUUUGUUUGUGGAGUUGAUAGUGUUUAUUUAAAUGGAGUUAUUUUCGAACAAGUUGUUUUAAUUAUUUUUUGGUUUUGUGUGAGUAUUAGGGUUGUGUUGUUAAUUUGGGAUGAUAGGUAAUAAUGAUUAAAUUAUUAAUAAUUAUUUGUUGUUUUCUGUUUGUUUAGGAAUCAGGUUUUGUUUGGGUUAGGCAAUGCUAAAAUUGGAUUUGAUGAAUUAGGCAAAGAUUGAUUUCUGACUGUUUAGCAAAGACAUUGUUUUUUGUUGUGAUAAAAAAUAAGUUCUGUCCACUGCUAUUAGGUGAAGGGCUGCAGUAUUUUGACUGUAUGAAGGUAGCAUAAUCAUUAGCUUUUUAAUUAGAAGCUGGUAUGAAGGUGAAACAGGGGUUUGCUGUAUUUUUUCUAUUUUUUGAAUUUUAUUUUUAUGUGAAAAAUCAUGAUUGAAUUAGUGGGACAAGAAGACCCCAAUAAGUUUUAUCUUUUUAAUUAAUGCGUGCAUAGGCUUUAUUUGUGUAAUUUAUUUAGGGGGAUUUGGCUGGGGCGGCAGUUUAUUUGACAUAGAUUGAUUUUUAACUUAAUUUGGCGUGGUGCGGGACCUAGGUUGUUUAGAUUAGUGUGAAACUACUGUGGGGAUAACAGCGUGAUUUUAUUUGAGAGUUCUAAUUGACAAUAGA